AUCCCACGAAGACUCCAUGUUUUGGAAUACAACGUUUGACUCUUCAUCUUAUUUGAAAAAAAAUAUGAUUACUAUUUUUAUUGUUAUUAGAUAAUAAAACAUAAAUCAUACUUUAUGCAUGACUAAUUAUUUUUAAUUUCAUAAAAUUUAAAUAGGUCAAAUGGUCAAACGUUGAAUACAUAAACCUAU
RNAcentral lists this microRNA precursor (189 nucleotides) under Oryza barthii. Its description in RNAcentral is "MIR812 microRNA precursor family". It matches the Rfam family "MIR812 microRNA precursor family". The record is from Rfam by way of RNAcentral. Lineage: Eukaryota; Viridiplantae; Streptophyta; Magnoliopsida; Poales; Poaceae.